RNAcentral lists this ribosomal RNA (253 nucleotides) under uncultured bacterium. Its description in RNAcentral is "partial 16S ribosomal RNA". It matches the Rfam family "Bacterial small subunit ribosomal RNA", at positions 524 to 776 of the family's 1533-position model. The record is from RNAcentral.
UACGUAGGUGGCGAGCGUUGUCCGGAUUUACUGGGCGUAAAGAGCGCGCAGGCGGCUGGUCAAGUCCGAUGUGAAAGCUCCCGGCUUAACUGGUAAAUUGCAUCGGAAACUGAUCGGCUGGAAGGUGGGAGAGGGUAGCGGAAUUCCCGGUGUAGUGGUGAAAUGCGUAGAUAUCGGGAGGAACACCAGUGGCGAAAGCGGCUACCUGGCCCAUUCUUGACGCUGAGGCGCGAAAGCUAGGGGAGCAAACGGG